This is a long non-coding RNA of Panthera uncia (snow leopard), 581 nucleotides long. RefSeq lists it as uncharacterized. Lineage: Eukaryota; Metazoa; Chordata; Mammalia; Carnivora; Felidae. The transcript has 3 exons. The record is from RefSeq and is a predicted model, not a curated record.
CAUCGUGCCAGUUUGUGGUGACAACGCGGUCUACAAAACUAUACUGUAGGAUGCAAUUUUUCCUGACUUGAAUGCUACAGGACCAAAAAAGGAAGUUUCGGAACAAGAAGAGGAAACCAUCCAGGGGAGAUACACUGAUCUUCUGAGCAUGGCAUUCAAGGGCACCUCUGAAGGGCCUCCCUGUUUCUACGUUUCAUCUCAGGCAUGAAAACCUGUGGCUUCCAGGGGCAGGUGGAAUGGAGAGGUAUCAUUUAGUAGCUACAGAGUUUUUUGUUUUGCAAGAUGACAAAGGUUCGGGAGAUGGAUGGCCGGGAUGGUCGCACGGCCGUGUGAACGUACUUAAAGCCGCCAACCUAUAUGGUUAAAAGGGUAAAAUUUUGUAUGUAUGUUUUAUUUACCACAAUGUAAAAAUAAUGAUUAUAUAAAAGCAAAGGACUGUCAGAUGAGAGGUUGGAUGGUGUAUGAAGAGGGGGAGACUUCAGAUGGGGCGUGAAAUGAGACACCCCCACCCCAUGCCAGCCCUGGAAAAGGAUUAGUACCUGCCUUCUUUCAAGUCGCCGAUGUGUUCUCCCAGACCUGCC